This is a non-coding RNA of Oryctolagus cuniculus (rabbit), 1604 nucleotides long. NCBI's taxonomy places the organism in Eukaryota, Metazoa, Chordata, Mammalia, Lagomorpha, Leporidae. The record is from RefSeq and is a predicted model, not a curated record.
UUAAAAAAAAACUAAAUGAAAGAUCUCUGUGAGUGAGAUCCCAGUGGAAAGAACAGGUCUUCAAAGAAGGAGGUACCUUUCUCUGAAGGGAGGAGAGAGCCUCCACUUUGAAUAUGACCUUGUCUAAACAAGAUAAGAGUCAGAGAACUCAAGGGGCUUCCAUAGCCAUGGAAACUCAUGACUGGUGCAUAGGGAGAUUACUGAUGCCAUAAACAGGAGUGUCAAUUUCUAAAGUCAACAACAGGAAUCACUGUGCACUUACUCCUCAUGUAGGAUCUCUGUCCUUAAUGUGCUGUACAUUGAGAUUUAAUGCUCUAACGAGUACUCAAACAGUAUAUUUCCCUUUGUGUUUCUAUGGGGGUGCAAACUGUUGAAAUCUUUACCUAAUGUAUACUAAAUAAAAAUUAUUGAUCCUGAUCCCUGUUCUCUGGAAGCCCAGUCAUGAUUCUUAAUUGACUUAUUGAUUCGUGUCUCACAUUAACCACUCAUGAAGUGGUGAAACCCAGGUAAUGUGCCAGGUGGGCUAGUAAGAUGGGUAAGUCAGGGCUCUUCAGAGAAGUGAUUUUCAUUAUUAACUAAUAGUUUCAUGCUUACCCCACUGCUUUGUAAUACAUACAGUGACAUACCUAUAGAACAGGUAGACAAAUCAGCAGCCAUUCUUCUACAGGAAAAUUAAAUUAGGUCAUUUAUCAACUGCUGGGUGAUUUCAGAUAGUUACUUAUCUCAAAAUGAAGCCUCCACUGCGUGUGUCAAAUCUGUAGCUCAGCCCCUAAAGUUCCCUCAAGUUUGGGAGCAUAAUUAGUCAGUUUUGUUUCUCCUGUCUUCCUGAUAUGCUAUUUUAAUUUUCAGAAAUUUCCAACAAACCGAGAAAAUGGCCUUUAGUCAGGACUCAUAGCUGCCCAUUAUUUACUAUAUAUUAAGUGCUCCAGGAAGGACCUCUCAAAAAGGAAUCACUGACUACCACCACCCCAGUCCUCAUCAAAGAUCAAGAGAUAAUAUGUUCAUUAAAGGCAUCACUGCAACCCAGGUAUAGUAGCUGAGUUGCAAGAAUUGAUCUAAAUGUUUUGUCAGACUAAGUGGGUUUUUUGAAAUUGGCUUCAUUUCUUUCUUGAAGUUUCUGACUUCAAUACUUAUAAAGGAAGCUUACUAAGACAACAUCUCCCUGAAACAUUGGGACUUCCUGAGGUAGAUGCAUAAUAUAUGUCAUCUGUUUAAGCAGAAUAAGAACGUUUUCUACAUUAUUUUUUUUACAUUUUUGCUUUUUUCAAUUUUGUUCAUAAAUCAGGAUGUGCGGUACGUUCAGCCUUUCCAUAUUUUUAAACCCCUCUUUCCUUGUCUCCUCUCCCCAUGAUGCUCAUUCUGGGCCCCAUUUUAAGCUGUGUAAGGAGACAGAUAUGAUAACGGAUCCCAGAAUUUAGCCCCAGAACCUUUUCCCUCUUCUAUUAGAGGAAAUAUGGGAGUAGGAAUUAAAACAACAGGACUUAGAGUUUUCAUUACAGCAAAGAGUAUAAUCUCUCUCCUGGGGAGACAAAGCUUUAUCAUGUACAGACAAAAUGAGACCCUGACAUAUCUAGACUUCAUGUGAACCAAGUUUAGGACAGAAA